This 119-nucleotide ribosomal RNA is filed under the name Nematostella vectensis (starlet sea anemone). The record is from RNAcentral. Lineage: Eukaryota; Metazoa; Cnidaria; Anthozoa; Actiniaria; Edwardsiidae.
GUCUACGGCCAUACCACUGAGAAAGCACCGGUUCUCGUCCGAUCACCGAAGUUAAGCUCAGUAGGGCGCGGUUAGUACUUGGAUGGGUGACCGCCUGGGAAUACCGUGUGCUGUAGNNN